This 207-nucleotide ribosomal RNA is filed under the name uncultured bacterium. Its description in RNAcentral is "partial 16S ribosomal RNA". It matches the Rfam family "Bacterial small subunit ribosomal RNA", at positions 568 to 774 of the family's 1533-position model. The record is from RNAcentral.
CGUGCAGGCGGUUGAUUAAGUUGGUUGUUAAAUUCCCUGGCUUAACUGGGGUCCAGCAAUCAAUACUGGUCGACUAGAGGGCAAGAGAGAGAAGUGGAAUUCUUGGAGUAGCGGUAAAAUGCAUAGAUCUCAAGAGGAACACCAGUUGCGAAGGCGACUUUUUGGCUUGUCCCUGACGCUGAAGCGCGAAAGCGUGGGGAGCAAACA